This 748-nucleotide ribosomal RNA is filed under the name uncultured bacterium. RNAcentral's name for it is "bacterial SSU rRNA". It matches the Rfam family "Bacterial small subunit ribosomal RNA", at positions 9 to 756 of the family's 1533-position model. The record is from RNAcentral.
GAGUUUGAUCCUGGCUCAGGAUGAACGCUAGCGGCAGGCCUAAUACAUGCAAGUCGAACGAGCUUGAGUAGCAAUACUUGAGUUAGUGGCGCACGGGUGCGUAACGCGUAUGCAACCUGCCUUUUCCUGGGGGAUAGCCCGUCGAAAGACGGAUUAAUACCGCAUAACACCAUUUGAGGGCAUCCGAAGAUGGUCAAAGCUUUCGGGCGGGAGAAGAUGGGCAUGCGUGCCAUUAGCUAGUUGGCGGGGUAAAGGCCCACCAAGGCGACGAUGGCUAGGGGUUCUGAGAGGAUGGUCCCCCACACUGGUACUGAGACACGGACCAGACUCCUACGGGAGGCAGCAGUAGGGAAUAUUGGGCAAUGGGCGAGAGCCUGACCCAGCCAUGCCGCGUGCAGGAAGAAGGCCUUCUGGGUUGUAAACUGCUUUUAUCAGGGAAGAAAACGCUCUUGCGAGAGUAACUGACGGUACCUGGUGAAUAAGCACCGGCUAACUCCGUGCCAGCAGCCGCGGUAAUACGGAGGGUGCAAGCGUUGUCCGGAUUUAUUGGGUUUAAAGGGAGCGUAGGCGGCCCGUUAGGUCAGCGGUGAAAUCCCAGGGCUCAACCCUGGAACUGCCGUUGAUACUGGCGGGCUUGAGUUCGGUCGAGGCGGGCGGAACUGGUGGUGUAGCGGUGAAAUGCAUAGAUACCACCAAGAACCCGAUUGCGUAGGCAGCUCGCUAGGCCGAAACUGACACUGAGGCACGA